CUUAAAGCCGUUCUCAGUUCGGACUGUAGGCUGCAACUCGCCUACACGAAGCUGGAAUCGCUAGUAAUCGCGGAUCAGCACGCCGCGGUGAAUACGUUCCCGGGCCUUGUACACACCGCCCGUCACACCAUGGGAGCCGGUAAUACCCGAAGUCAGUAGUCCAACCUCGUGAGGACGCUGCCGAAGGUAGGAUUGGCGACUGGGGUGAAGUCGUAACAAGGUAGC
RNAcentral lists this ribosomal RNA (225 nucleotides) under uncultured bacterium. Its description in RNAcentral is "partial 16S ribosomal RNA". It matches the Rfam family "Bacterial small subunit ribosomal RNA", at positions 1275 to 1500 of the family's 1533-position model. The record is from RNAcentral.